GGGGCACAUAAAAUAAUACUUUCACAAGGCCUCCAUAGAUCUUCAUUACCAUUCCUAAUGCCAUGGAUUACAUUAGCAUCUGUUUCACAUACUACUGGCACGCACAUCGCUUCAUCUAAAGAUAGUAUAUCAACCUAAUAUGGUAAGACUCAAUAUUCACAACCUAAGUGUUGCCACUUUCCAACACUACAAAAUCAAUCUUUUUGCAGUGUCAUGCAAAAGAAGUUUGCUAAAACCAGCUUUUGUAUUAACAAAUGAUUUGAUAUAUCCUCAAGCUCAAUAUAAUGAGGCAACUACUGCAAUAUUGGAAAUUAUUCAGCAUCCUUUUUAAGUGAAAAGAGGUUUGUACAAAGUCUUUCAUAAUCACAAUAAGCAUUGAUGAAAGCUCAAACCAGACUGCCCUUUGAAAUGUAUUAGGGAGUAGCGCAUGUAUUAAUUGCUUCACCUACUGAUAAUACGAGAAAAAUCACUAAUAUGGCUUAGAGAGUAGUUUACCUUCCUUGUUAUCUGUUGGAGUCAAUGUCAGAUGGGACAUCCUAAAAACUUAUCAAACAAAAGAAAGCAUGCAAAGUUUUUGUAAACCAAGAAACA
RNAcentral lists this unclassified non-coding RNA (591 nucleotides) under Hevea brasiliensis (rubber tree). The record is from RNAcentral. Lineage: Eukaryota; Viridiplantae; Streptophyta; Magnoliopsida; Malpighiales; Euphorbiaceae.